AUUGAACGCUGGCGGCAUGCUUUACACAUGCAAGUCGAACGGUAACAGGUUAAGCUGACGAGUGGCGAACGGGUGAGUAAUGCAUCGGAACGUGCCCGAUCGUGGGGGAUAACGCAGCGAAAGCUGCGCUAAUACCGCAUACGAUCUGAGGAUGAAAAGCGGGGGGACCGUAAGGCCUCGCGCGAUCGGAGCGGCCGAUGUCAGAUUAGGUAGUUGGUGGGGGUAAAGGCUCACCAAGCCGACGAUCUGUAGCUGGUCUGAGAGGACGACCAGCCACACUGGGACUGAGACACGGCCCAGACUCCUACGGGAGGCAGCAGUGGGGAAUUUUGGACAAUGGGCGCAGGCCUGAUCCAGCAAUGCCGCGUGCAGGAGAAGGCC
RNAcentral lists this ribosomal RNA (381 nucleotides) under uncultured bacterium. Its description in RNAcentral is "bacterial SSU rRNA". It matches the Rfam family "Bacterial small subunit ribosomal RNA", at positions 29 to 416 of the family's 1533-position model. The record is from RNAcentral.